RNAcentral lists this ribosomal RNA (440 nucleotides) under uncultured bacterium. RNAcentral's name for it is "partial 16S ribosomal RNA". It matches the Rfam family "Bacterial small subunit ribosomal RNA", at positions 338 to 795 of the family's 1533-position model. The record is from RNAcentral.
CCUACGGGAGGCAGCAGUGGGGGAUAUUGCACAAUGGGGGAAACCCUGAUGCAGCGACGCCGCGUGUGGGAAGACGGUCCUCUGGAUUGUAAACCACUGUCCCCAGGGACGAAGAUGACGUUCCCUGGGGAGGAGGCUCCGGCUAACUACGUGCCAGCAGCCGCGGUAAUACGUAGGGAGCAAGCGUUGUCCGGAUUUACUGGGUGUAAAGGGAGCGUAGGCGGGAUGGCAAGUUGGGUGUUAAAUCUACCGGCUCAACUGGGAGUCGCACUCAAAACUGCUAUUCUUGAGUGAAGUAGAGGCAGGCGGAAUUCCUAGUGUAGCGGUGAAAUGCGUAGAUAUUAGGAGGAACACCAGUGGCGAAGGCGGCCUGCUGGGCUUUUACUGACGCUGAGGCUCGAAAGUGUGGGGAGCAAACAGGAUUAGAUACCCGGGUAGUC